GACGAACGCUGGCGGCGUGCUUAACACAUGCAAGUCGAACGGAAAGGCCCUGCUUUUGUGGGGUGCUCGAGUGGCGAACGGGUGAGUAACACGUGAGUAACCUGCCAUUGACUGUGGGAUAACUUAAGGAAACUGGGGCUAAUACGGGAUAGGAGCUCCUGCUGCAUGGUGGGGGUUGGAAAGUUUCGGCGGUUGGGGAUGGACUCGCGGCUCAUCAGCUUGUUGGUGGGGUAGUGGCUUACCAAGGCUUUGCCGGGUAGCCGGCCUGGGCGGGUGACCGGCCACGCUAGGACUGAGAUACGGCCCAGACCCCUACGGGAGGCAGCAGUGCAGAAGAUUGCACAAUAGGCUGAAGCCUGAUGCAGCACCGCCGCGUGCGGGAUGACAGCAUUCGGGUAGUAAACCGCUUUCGCCUGUGACGAAGCGUGAGUGACGGUAAUGGGUAAAUAAGCUCCGGCUAACUACGUG
This 468-nucleotide ribosomal RNA is filed under the name uncultured bacterium. Its description in RNAcentral is "partial 16S ribosomal RNA". It matches the Rfam family "Bacterial small subunit ribosomal RNA", at positions 28 to 507 of the family's 1533-position model. The record is from RNAcentral.